This 501-nucleotide ribosomal RNA is filed under the name uncultured bacterium. Its description in RNAcentral is "bacterial SSU rRNA". It matches the Rfam family "Bacterial small subunit ribosomal RNA", at positions 29 to 524 of the family's 1533-position model. The record is from RNAcentral.
AUUGAACGCUGGCGGCGUGCCUAACACAUGCAAGUCGAGCGGUAACAGGUGUAGCAAUACAUGCUGACGAGCGGCGGACGGGUGAGUAACGCUUGGGAAUCUGCCUGUUAGUGGGGGACAACCCGGGGAAACUCGGGCUAGUACCGCAUACGCACUACGGUGGAAAGCCGGGGACCGCAAGGCCUGGCGCUAACAGAUGAGCCCAAGUCGGAUUAGCUAGUUGGUAGGGUAACGGCCACCAAGGCGACGAUCCGUAACUGGUCUGAGAGGACGACCAGUCACACCGGAACUGAGACACGGUCCGGACUCCUACGGGAGGCAGCAGUGGGGAAUAUUGGACAAUGGCGAAAGCCUGAUCCAGCGACGCCGCGUGGGUGAAGAAGGCCUGCGGGUUGUAAAGCCCUUUCGGUGGGGAAGAAAAGCCUCGAGUUAACACCUCGGGGUCUUGACGUAACCCAUUAAAGAAGCACCGGCUAACUCUGUGCCAGCAGCCGCAGUAAG